RNAcentral lists this ribosomal RNA (467 nucleotides) under uncultured bacterium. RNAcentral describes it as "partial 16S ribosomal RNA". It matches the Rfam family "Bacterial small subunit ribosomal RNA", at positions 28 to 506 of the family's 1533-position model. The record is from RNAcentral.
GACGAACGCUGGCGGCGUGCUUAACACAUGCAAGUCGAACGGAAAGGCCCUGCUUUUGUGGGGUGCUCGAGUGGCGAACGGGUGAGUAACACGUGAGUAACCUGCCCUUGACUUUGGGAUAACUUCAGGAAACUGGGGCUAAUACCGGAUAGGAGCUCCUGCUGCAUGGUGGGGGUUGGAAAGUUUCGGCGGUUGGGGAUGGACUCGCGGCUUAUCAGCUUGUUGGUGGGGUAGUGGCUUACCAAGGCUUUGACGGGUAGCCGGCCUGAGAGGGUGACCGGCCAAAUUGGGCGUGGGAAACGGCCCGGACUCCUACGGGGGGCAGGGGUGGGGAAUAUUGCAAAAGGGGCGGAGGCGUGAUGCAGCAACCCCGGGUGGGGGAGGCCGGCCUUCGGGUGGGAAACCGCUUUCGCCUGUAACGAGGGGGGAGGGACGGUAAUGGGAAAAAAAGCCCCGGUUAACUACGG